Molecule: ribosomal RNA, 469 nt
Filed under: uncultured bacterium
Lineage: Bacteria
Description: partial 16S ribosomal RNA
Rfam family: Bacterial small subunit ribosomal RNA
Source: RNAcentral
GACGAACGCUGGCGGCGUGCUUAACACAUGCAAGUCGAACGCUGAAGCACCAGCUUGCUGGUGUGGAUGAGUGGCGAACGGGUGAGUAAUACGUGAGUAACCUGCCCUUGACUCUGGGAUAAGCCCGGGAAACUGGGUCUAAUACUGGAUGCUACAUGUCACCGCAUGGUGGUGUGUGGAAAGGGUUUACUGGUCUUGGAUGGGCUCACGGCCUAUCAGCUUGUUGGUAAGGUAAUGGCUCACCAAGGCGACGACGGGUAGCCGGCCUGAGAGGGUGACCGGCCACACUGGGACUGAGACACGGCCCAGACUCCUACGGGAGGCAGCAGUGGGGAAUAUUGCACAAUGGGCGAAAGCCUGAUGCAGCGACGCCGCGUGAGGGAUGACGGCCUUCGGGUUGUAAACCUCUUUCAGCAGGGAAGAAGCCACAAGUGACAGUACCUGCAGAAGAAGCGCCGGCUAACUACGU